Molecule: ribosomal RNA, 231 nt
Filed under: uncultured marine eukaryote
Lineage: Eukaryota
Description: partial 18S ribosomal RNA
Rfam family: Eukaryotic small subunit ribosomal RNA
Source: RNAcentral
UUAAAAAGCUCGUAGUUGGAUUUCUGUGUUGGUGAGGCGGCCGGCCACUCGUGGUUGUAGCUAGUUAUCACCGGCGCAUCUUGUCACAAGCCACGCUGGCCUUAACUGGUUGGCGCUGGGGACUGACUCGUUUACUUUGAGAAAAUUAGAGUGUUCAAAGCAGGCUAUCGCCUUGAAUAUGUUAGCAUGGAAUAAUGAUAUAGGACUUUGGUUCUAUUUUGUUGGUUGUUC